CCCAGCAAGUUUAAAAACAAUGUAAAGAUAUAUCAUGAUUGAAAGAGUCUGAAUAAUAAGCUGGCUAUCCUUCAUAAUGUAUUUGUGAAUUAGCAUGAACAAAAUUUCACAGCUGAAUGAACAUUGAAAAUGUACAUAACAAUUAUAUCUGGAACGACUGGUAAUGAAGGUGAUCAGCCUUUCAUACCUGAUGAAUACAUACAAUAUGUACAGAGUACAAUUCAUAUGCAUAUCUGACUGAAACUACUCGUAGAAGAGUUUAAGUAAAAAGAAAAACUUGAAAACUUGCCUGAACCGUUGAUUACCGUAACACAAUAUAAUAAGCUUCUCCCGAAGACCUAAUAUUAAUAAUAUAGAUCUCCAGUAUUAGAAUAAUAUCAUCACAGUUAUAAAAUAACUUAAACAUAUUACCACAUAAUCUUAUCAGUCUCUUAUACACAUAAGACAUAGCUUCAAGUCAAACUAUUUCAGUCCGAGUUGAAAUCGGUACAAUUCUAUCAUCCCGAUGGUCUAAUCGGACAAUUAACGAGUCUAAGUUUAAUUAAACUCUGCCUAAACACUUAACGAUAUCACAGAUAAUUUUCUUAUCAGUCAAAACAUUUUUCAUAGUCUUGUAAUAAUUUUCAGAUAAUUAAUAUCAUUUAUCUAAAUUUUUCGAUCAUUGAUAACGUAUUUAAUGAAUUAAAUACCACCUAAUUCUUUAAUCAUUAAUAUCUAUUUAUCAUUAAAUAUUAAUGAAAAUCUUAACAUAAUAUUAUAAUAUAUUUAUAAUAUAUCAAAGUAUUUUUAAUACUUUAAAAUCAUAUUUAUAUGAUUUUUAAACGAUUAAAUCCAUUAUCCGAUAAUUGAUAUUAAUAAUAAAAUAUUAAUAUUUUUAUGCCAAAAUAUCAAAAGUUGUAGUCUAUAACUUAAAAUAUUUUUCUAAUACUUAAAUUAUUUUUAUAAGAUUUUUAAAGCAUUAAUUCUAUUUUUCCAUAAUUUAUUUAAUAUAUAUAUUAAAAAAACUAAUUACCAUUAAUAAUAAACUAUUAAUGAAAUUCAUUAUAAAAUAUUAAAAGUCAUUAAAAAUAACUUAAAAUAUUUUAUAACACCAUAAAAUAAUUACUUCUUACCACAAUAAUUAUUUCCCUUGCUGCUUAACUCUGAACGUAAUACAUUAUAAAGAGGUCCUGGAGAUGUUAUUCUCCAUCCCCGUAUACCACCAUGACUAGCCAAGGUAAAGAUAUAACCAUCCCCAAUAGCCAUAUGAAUUACAGGACUAUUAUGAGCCACCCAUUAUUGAAGUAUAACUCUCAUUCCUAGAUUUUCUGGCCUUCGGGAUGCCAUCUAGGUGACUCUGGAAGUUAAAACUCCCUGUGUUAUCAGUUUGUUUUGGGCCAUCAUCAAAAUAAGGGGGGAGCAAUACCCAAUUUUAAAUCCAGAUUAUGGCUGCUGCCUCCAGUAUCAGCUUCAGCACUUAACUCGCCAUCAUAUGUGCUUGGAUCAAAAUUGGUUACUGCUUCCCUUCCAUUGCAUUUUAUUGCAGCUUUGUCAUAUGCCCUUGCUGCUUCCAUUUCGCUGUCAAAUAACCCAAGAUAGAUAUACUUCUUGCCAAGAAACUGUCCCAUUCGAGCUUCCCAUCGUCCACAUGGAAGAAACAUAAUUUGAUCUCCCCUAGCUAAUUCGUCACCGCUACUUGAUACCCAUGAGGGACAAGACUCCUGCUUGCCCUCAAGUGUUGCACUCUGGACAGCCUCCUUUUCAUUAUAUUUAUCUACUUCUUCCCACGCUUUCAAGCCUAACGUCCAAGCCUCAUCCGCCAUGCUUUUCUCCUGACCGAAUUGCUGCUGUAGUUGCUGCUUGGGCUCACCGAUUGACACGGUCAGAACAGGAGCAUUAAUGUUAUUAUUAUAAUUAGAAGAAAAGAUGGCAAACGACAAUAAGCAAUGAAGUUUCGCCGGCGAAUCCGUUUGCUAUCCUUCUAUCUCUUUCUCCCUUGCCAUCGAUGUUGAGCCAACAACCCUUGGGCGGGUUGUGACCGGAGACCACUUGGAAUAGCAGCUCUGGACCAGGUUCCAUUAGAUAAACUCACGUCCACCUCGACCGUAGGAUUGCCUCUGCUGUCGAAGCUUUGUCGUGCCUUGACAGACUGGAUCGUGGUCAUCGACUCCACGAGUAGCCAUCUGCAGCUUACUCGGCGUUUUGGGCUAGCAUCAUGUUAGAAGUAACAACGAGCAGUUCUUCAACGGAGAAGAUGGCUAGUUCGAUAGUUCUGAGCUGGCCGACAAGUUGAAUCCGGUGAAGGAGCGAUCGUGAAUCCGGCCAUGCAUGUGUGGUGUUCGUUAACCGGUGAAAACUCCUUGAACGACUGGCAAUGAGAGAAUUAUCAGAUAGAUAGAGAUACAUUUCCUUCCUAGAAGCAAAAGACGGGGGAAUCUUCCAGCACGAAUCCCCAUAAUCAACCGACCGGGCAAUGAGUUCUUGAUAAUCAGACGGAAGAAAACUCUCCCACCGAAACUCAGUCCCUCGCCGGAAAUUUAUGGUCUGAUCUUGGCCCUAACCACCGAGGCUCGACUGAUCACUAUUUUUCUCUCGGAAGCAUCACUAAUGCUUGUUCUUGCACUAGUGCUGCAACUGCUACUACUAUUACUCCGAGACCACAUCAACGAGUCCUUGCUGUUAACGCUGCUCGUCCGGCGUGGAGUUGAGGAGAGAGUGUAGUCUAUAGCACAAAUAACAGAAAGGAUGAGAAGGAAGUGGAAGAAGAUGUGAGUUCAGUUCAUGGUGGCAUCAAGCUUUGCACGGUGAUAUGGCCAUUGCAGGUGGUUUUGGGUUUAGUGGAAAUGUUUUCCUCCCACCCAAAAUGGCUGUGCUCCCAUAAUAAUAAUACUACUGCUUUUCCCUUUUUAAUAGCUAAUCAUCUAUCAACUUAUUUUAAUCAAGGAGAGGAAAAAUAAUAAUAAAAGAUCCCCUCCGCCCACAUGCGUUUGUCCCCUCAUCAAUUAUUUUCCUCUUUUCUUUUCUUAUUCCACCGACUCUCAACAAUUAUAGAACAAUAAUUUACAAAGGUUAUUUUGGUAAUUUCCAUACCAAAAAUAAUGCACAAGGGUAUUUUGGGCAUUUUACUAGCAAUAAUUGAAUUUCUACCCUUAAAAAUGCACAAGGGGCAUUUUAGACAUUUCGCUAGCAAUAAUUCACUAAAUGUGACAAAAGGGUAAACUAAACUUUUUCACCUCUAUUAUUAAGGACAUUAUAGACAUUUGCUACAACCCUUAGGGUUUUGAAAAAUUAAUUUUCUAAUAUUUUCCAAUUUAGGUUUUCUAAAUAGGAAAUUCAUAUCUCUAAAUUAAAAUUAGGAUUUUCAAAUUACAUUCAAAUUUCCCAAUCAUAAAUGAAUCUUACUAAUUAGGAUAAAUAAUUUCCUAAUUAAAAUAGCUAAUUUAUCAAUUAGCUCCGUUAGGGUUUUAUACCGUAAAAUUAGGAUUUUCUAAAUUAUAAGAAAAUCUAAUUUAAUCAUUAGGGUUUCUUAUAAAUCGUAAAAAUUUUAUAACUAAACGGGGAUGUUCUUAAUAUAUACGAUUAGGGUUUGACACAGGUUUAAUUUAUCUGGUCAACCCUUGACCGUUAACCACAUUCUGUACACAUGAUACCGUAAUCCUGAAUAAUUCACUAAAAGAAAUUUUAUAUCCACAAAAUUCCUUUUUGAAAACAUCAAACACAUGCACUUAUUUUCUGUCUAGGUCUAUUAUUUGACCUUAAACCAAUCAUCUAAGAUUUUAAUAAAUUUUCUAAAUUCUCGGGUUGUCAUAUUCACCCCUUCUUCUAAGAAUUUCGUCCUCGAAAUUAAAGCAUCCUAAUCUUUGCUCAUUCUCUUGAUCAAAACUAGGUUUUUAAUUUAACCUUUACAAUUUCCUCAUUCGAGGAUUUCUCAUCUAUUAUCACAUUUCACCAUAACUACUCACUAGGAGUUUACAUCUUCUAAACAUUCAUCAAAACUAGGUUGUCAUAAUAACCUUUAUUUAAUCAUCUCAGAUUCUACUCGUACGCAAUGAGUUUACACUAUUUCAUAUCCAUCAUCACAUUGUACCACAACAUUACUCUGAAGAGUUAAAAAAAACUUUUCAUAUCUGUCUGAGGGAUCAUAAAAAUUAUGAACUUUGAACUCCGAGGUUUAGGGGUAUUUCUACCUGCUACCUCUUUCAAUUAAGAAAGAAAGGUACUCUACCUCUUAAACAUUUCUUUAAUAGGUAUGUUUACAAUCACGAAGAAGGUAAACUACCGAUUCUGGUACUUUAGAUGAUCAGUCUAUUGUACCUUAGUAAUCCGAACGACUAUAUGCGUCCUUAAAUUGGAAUAUUCUAUCCAAUUAGUAUAUCCCCAUUUUCAGGGUUGUUCACCUCAGACUUAGUAUAGGAUUCCGCACCAAAACAAUUUGGUUCGGGAAAUUUCUUUCAAUGAACACUUAGAGUUUUCAUAAACAUUAGUCUAGCUGAAUCGAAUAGCAUAGACUCAUAUCGAUAAUUCAGUUCAAUAGAAUUAUUUAAGUAUAGCCAAACCCCGUUGGCAAAUUAAAAUUUUGAAAACAUUUUUCGAGAAUGACGUCAUGAUGCCGCACUGUAUUUACAGUCCGUUGAGGAUUCCGUCAUUUGGUGAUUUUAUCAUACUACAUCAUACCAUAGUGGGUUGACGAUCCUGAGAUCACAUCCAACACUAAGUAAUACUGCAUUGAUGACUCCAUCAUUUUUUUAUCAUCUCUGCACCAGGUUGCAUGGUACAUAAGUGAUAAAUAAAAACAACUUUUGAUACUUCAAAUCUUUCGCGUCUAGCCGAAAUAAGUAGCAUAGACUGUACUUUAAACCGUUUCAAAAAUGAUUACGAGUCUAUAUUUUUGUUUUCAAAAGGCACAUAGUGCGUAUUUAGCUUGAUGUCAAAAAUUCGAAGUCUAGCAUAGCUAGAAGAUUUGGAAUACCUAUGCUUCCAUCAUCAACUUCACUUUUUCUACUGAUCCAUUACUUAAUAGAUCUAUCUAUUCUUAUAAUCCUCAAUACUUCUUUCACACAUAACUAUACCCAGUUCGUCAAACUUACCACACUUAUGAGUUCAGGAACUUACCACAAUCAUAUGAGUUUAAGAACUUUCCUAGACAGACCUUUGGCGUCCAUUCGCUGAGGGGUCCAUAAACAUUUCAUAUAAUCAUGAGUCACGAACGUACCAUAAGUAUGAGUUUUAAGAACUCGUACUUAACCUUAUAUCCUCUAUCUAUGACCUAUCUACCUGUUAUACACAUGAGAAAGGAAUCACCCUCUGAACAUGCAUAUAACAAAUAGCGCGACAUAAACAUUUCAAUGAUUAUCAGUGCCAGAAACUAAGUGGUUUUUACACCAAGUACAAUUCAGCUCCCAUACGAAGAAUCAUACAACUCAGCUGCCGACAUGAGUCCUCAAUUGAAUCCCCACCUAACACUAACCCCUUCUCCAUACGAAUUUAAUUCGUAUUUAUAAUUCUCUUCUGGAUCUGUACCAAUUUAUAGUACAAUUCAUACACAGCAAUCUUGCUGUAAACUUUUCAUCAUUCUCUGGAUCUUUCUUCAUACCAUAACCUUAUCAGAUCACGGAGUGAUCUCAUCGUAUAUAUUACGAUUCAUUGCUAUUCUGUGAUCGUUUUGUUUUACGAUCUCCCAUCCUUACACUUGUAAUCUCUUAGACUCUAUCUAUCCACUUCCUAUACUUGGUACACAUCGAGUCUCUAACAGUUUUCAAUAUGGUACGCUGAGUGGUUUCCCACAAACAACCAACAAACUAGGUUCCGAGUUGCUAGUUCGUAUAUACCUCCGCUCUAUGAAGGAAUCGUUUAGCCCAGAUACCAUACAUCAACUAGUUUCGAGUACAAUGGUACCAUACUUAAACCUAACUUUCUGACCCUGCGAGAUUCUUCAACUAACUCUAUGUGAGUUAGUACUUAUCCUAAUCACUGCGGUUAUUGGUCUCAGGUAUUGCUACCUAAGCUUCAUAACCAACAGCUUUGAUACCAACUGUAGCGUCCCCCAAAUCCGGGUCCCGAAUCGCCGCGGAUCCGGUUUGCUAUUUCUACAACUGUUGCGGAAGAUAUAAACAUAAAUUGUUUAUACAUUAAACUUUACACACUAUUCCCAAAAUCGAGUAACCUUAACUAAUACACAAUCGUGAACUGUCUAACACAUGACAAUACUAUUCUUCAACAUACUUUACAACUUAACUUCACAUUCUAUCCCAAGCUGAACUUGGCAUUAUCCUUUUCCUGUAUCUGGCCGUAUUCGCCUUAUCUGCAAUGUUUUAUCAUGAUAUAGCAAGGGUGAGCAUGAAAGUUGCCCAGCAAGUUUAAAAAAAACAAGGUAAAGAUAUAUCAUGAUUGAAAGAGUUUGAAUAAUAAGCUGGCUAUCCUUCACAAUGUAGUUGUGAAUUAGCAUGAACAAAAUUUCAAAGCUGAAUGAACAUUGAAAAUGAACAUAACAAUUAUAUCUGAACCGACUGGUAAUGAAGGUGAUCAGCCUUUCAUACCUGAUGAAUACAUGCAAUAUGUACAGAGUACAAUUCAUAUGCAUAUCUGACUGAAACUACUCGUAG
This 6581-nucleotide long non-coding RNA is filed under the name Panax ginseng (ginseng). RNAcentral's name for it is "long non-coding RNA (PGIN_LNC000744)". The record is from RNAcentral. Lineage: Eukaryota; Viridiplantae; Streptophyta; Magnoliopsida; Apiales; Araliaceae.